AUAGCCAGAGAAGAUGAAAAAGGAGAAUAAAAAUGUAACUGGGACAGUGCACUUUCCUAACUCAAUGCAAAAAUUAAAAAGAAGGGCUCUGUUUCAGAGGACACAUGCUAUGAAUUGGAUUAUCUACAUUUUGACCUAAGAUUUCCUUGAAUAUCUAAAGUGAAGCGGCAAAUUAAACAUGCUGAUAAUCACCACUUUUUGGUUUGAUGCAGAAAACCGGUGGGUGCAUAAAACGUCAAAUUAGAUGACUUAGGUCUAUAGGCUUCUCCAAAGCUGCUAGGACCAGAACCAGGCUGGAAAACAGGACGAGACGAGAGACCGAGAGACAUACCACCUCCUCCUUCAUUAUUACCAAAACCGCUCCCAUGAUCUGAGGAUCCACCUCCGACACCAGGCAAACCAGCAGCAGCCUGAGAAUGAGGAAAACCAUGGGAAAUUAUGUGAGGAAAAAAAGAGUUCUGAGUUAUUAAUUCAGGAGAAAUAGAACCUUUCUAUGGGAUUCUCUUUUGCUACAGACUCCUUUAAAGCACUUUUUAGUAAUUCGUAACCGGUCAUUCACUGAUACUCAAGAAUGAAGAGGCAGUGGAGAAAAAUAACUGAGAGGUUCUGGAAACUAAAAAAAUUUUAAAUUAGGAAGAAUGGAAGAGGACUGAUAAGUUUGAAAGAGAGAGAAACACUAAAAAAUCUAUACAUGAGUCUGUUCCAGCUAUUUCAUCACCAUAUCUUGCAGGAAGUAACUGAUAAAUGGUGUCAAGAUUCAGUUAGAAUAAAACUUUACAUUACCUCAUCAAUUUUCAGACAGGAUCUUGUGGUUUUGAGAAUUUACCUGUUUCUCUUCAGAGACAACUCUUCACAGAAACUCUUUCGAAGACAUGAUAGAUUAACUUCCAAAA
Molecule: non-coding RNA, 893 nt
Organism: Bemisia tabaci
Lineage: Eukaryota; Metazoa; Arthropoda; Insecta; Hemiptera; Aleyrodidae
Source: RefSeq, a predicted model, not a curated record